GGGGCUAUAGCUCAGGCGGUUAGAGCGCUUCACUGAUAAUGAAGAGGUCCCAGGUUCAAGUCCUGGUAGCCCCAC
RNAcentral lists this transfer RNA (75 nucleotides) under Microbacterium barkeri. RNAcentral describes it as "tRNA-Ile". It matches the Rfam family "tRNA". Rfam says of the family: Transfer RNA (tRNA) molecules are approximately 80 nucleotides in length. Their secondary structure includes four short double-helical elements and three loops (D, anti-codon, and T loops). RNAcentral also lists the same sequence under 38 other names. The record is from RNAcentral. Lineage: Bacteria; Bacillati; Actinomycetota; Actinomycetes; Micrococcales; Microbacteriaceae.